CAGCCGCGGUAACUCCAGCUCCAAUAGCAUAUAUUAAAAUUGCUGCAGUUAAAAAGCUCGUAGUUGGAUCUGGGUUCUGGUUUGGAGACUGCUUGCUCUUAGUGAAUUGAUUUCAUGAAGCUUUGGGCAGCGGUACUUCUAGGCCGAAUCUUCCAGCUGUGUCUGCAUAAGGCUUCGGCUUUGUGUAGAUAGAUUCGUUGUGUGUAAGUUCCCUCACGGGUCUUCACCUUCGUUUCUAUACGCUGUAAUGCCUUUAAUCGGGUGUUCAGUGUGGACAGCACGUUUACUUUGAACAAAUUUGAGUGCUCA
This 309-nucleotide ribosomal RNA is filed under the name Gyrodactylus teuchis. Its description in RNAcentral is "SSU rRNA". It matches the Rfam family "Eukaryotic small subunit ribosomal RNA", at positions 571 to 777 of the family's 1831-position model. The record is from RNAcentral. Lineage: Eukaryota; Metazoa; Platyhelminthes; Monogenea; Gyrodactylidea; Gyrodactylidae.